This 151-nucleotide non-coding RNA is filed under the name unclassified sequences. Its description in RNAcentral is "IMES-5 RNA". It matches the Rfam family "IMES-5 RNA". The record is from Rfam by way of RNAcentral.
CUUUAGUGAAAGAUUUUCUAACUCGAGACGGAAAAAGGGGAAGCUAAAGAUUAGAAGGAGAGGGGUGAGAAGACGUAAGAAAUUCCCCCACCUGCAGGGAGAGGGGUUUUUCGCUUGUGCUAGUCACCCCACUAGACCCCUUUUAACUUCG